AUGUCCUCAGCCCCUGCCAGCCCUGGGAGCGCCUCAUGGGGACACAGAUGCCACAAGCUGCCCUCUGCUGCACCAGCUCCUCUCACAGGGAUGAGCUGGCGGCGGCAGGCAUCUGUCCCCCUGCUCCCCUGGGGGCCGAGACUGACCCUGGUUGCUUCCAUCGGCUUCUCUUUGUUGCCACCCUCCCUGCCCUCUCUUUGGCCCUGCCUGGUGCGGGGGUUCCUAGGAAACCACACAGGCAGUGUAGUGGGCUCUGUGCCUGCCACGCCAGCCUGCAUCAGAGCACGAACACUGGAUCAGAGUGGGGCUGUUGGAGGCAGGAGGGAAAAAAUAAGAUCUCAGAUUGUCAGUGCCGGAGCCUUCCCAGGGCAGUCUCGCUUCCCAUGUUUGGAAUGUUGCUCGCCUUGGAAACCUAAGAUGUAAAAAGGGUGAAGCAGAGAGACGCAGGGUUGAGAGGAGCAGAGGAUUCAUCCAUUUUAGCUCUGAGACCCCAGGUAACCUCUGCAGAGCACAGUUUGAAAUGGCAGGUGUAACCAAGCUUCUCUGUUUUACUUAUAAGAAAAUUUUUGCCUCUGGAGACGGAAGACUAGCCCAGGAGACACACACUGACUUUGGCCCCAACCUUGCCUCUUCUGUCGGCCUCUGAUUCCCGACGCCUGUUUUCCCAGCCAUCCUUCCUCAUCCAAAAAAGACUUCGUGGAAGGCGGGGGCCCACAGGCCACCUACUGCCCACUCAGUCACAUCCUUCACCCCACCUGCCUCUCACCAGGCUGUUUCUAGCAUGAGUAAAUGUGCAUUUAGGUGGAGACCAUGGUCCAUUUGCUAAGGUACAUUUCUGUAAGUGACAAAUUCCAGAAUGGUGGUGCAUUAGUUACAACCAAUUAGCAGGAAAUUACCCCUGUAAAGUGCAUUCCCUGCGCUGGGACAGAAGCCAACGUGUAGCAUUCACCAACUCUUACCUCAUCGGGCUCAGUCGACAGUGAAGAGGUCUAAAUCCAAUUCAAUAAAAUAUUUGAUGCUGAGACGGAAGCUUUGGAACUAUAAAUUCUAGCUAGUGGGCCAGAAGGAGGUUCCUCCAUCCUUCCAAGCAUCAGUAGCCUCCCCUCUCCACUGUUACCGACAGCACUGGCAGCAGGAGACUCUUGGCAUUCUGAAGAUAUGCUGACUUGUGUUCAGGUNNNNGCUUUGCCACAUUUAAGCUGUGUGAUCUCAAAAUCAUCCGUUCUCUUAUGUAUAAAAUAGAGACAAUAGUACAUACCUUGCAGGAUUGUUGCAUUUUAAAUGUGAGGGGCUUCCCCGCUGGCUCAGUGGUAAAGAUCUACUUGCCAAGCAGGAGAUUUGAGUUUGAUCCCUGGGUCAGGAAAAUCCCCUGAAGUAGGAAAUGGCAACCCACUUCAGUAUUCUUGCCUGGGAA
RNAcentral lists this long non-coding RNA (1414 nucleotides) under Capra hircus (goat). RNAcentral describes it as "lncRNA (ENSCHIG00010011851.1)". Lineage: Eukaryota; Metazoa; Chordata; Mammalia; Artiodactyla; Bovidae. The record is from RNAcentral.